RNAcentral lists this ribosomal RNA (490 nucleotides) under uncultured bacterium. RNAcentral describes it as "partial 16S ribosomal RNA". It matches the Rfam family "Bacterial small subunit ribosomal RNA", at positions 30 to 507 of the family's 1533-position model. The record is from RNAcentral.
AUUGAACGCUGGCGGCAGGCCUAACACAUGCAAGUCGAACGGUAACAGGAAGCAGCUUGCUGCUUCGCUGACGAGUGGCGGACGGGUGAGUAAUGUCUGGGAAACUGCCUGAUGGAGGGGGAUAACUACUGGAAACGGUAGCUAAUACCGCAUAACGUCGCAAGACCAAAGAGGGGGACCUUAGGGCCUCUUGCCAUCGGAUGUGCCCAGAUGGGAUUAGCUAGUAGGUAGGGUAACGGCUCACCUAGGCGACGAUCCCUAGCUGGUCUGAGAGGAUGACCAGCCACACUGGAACUGAGACACGGUCCAGACUCCUACGGGAGGCAGCAGUGGGGAAUAUUGCACAAUGGGCGAAAGCCUGAUGCAGCCAUGCCGCGUGUAUGAAGAAGGCCUUCGGGUUGUAAAGUACUUUCAGCGGGGAGGAAGGGAGUAAAGUUAAUACCUUUGCUCAUUGACGUUACCCGCAGAAGAAGCACCGGCUAACUCCGUG